AUUAUAUUACAAUAAACAAGAUCAGAUUUAUUUUACACAAAUGUUUUAGUCUUCUAGGUCAGUUUUUUGGUAAGGUAUGUCAAAUGAACUGGGAAUUAUUAUGAAAGACGAGUUUAUUUACUUCAAUUUGAGUUACGAAACACGUU
This is a long non-coding RNA of Hippocampus comes (tiger tail seahorse), 146 nucleotides long. RefSeq lists it as uncharacterized. The transcript is spliced from 2 exons. The record is from RefSeq and is a predicted model, not a curated record. NCBI's taxonomy places the organism in Eukaryota, Metazoa, Chordata, Actinopteri, Syngnathiformes, Syngnathidae.